UGCAUUGGCCGAGAAUCGAACUCGGGGCGCCCUCGUGGCAGGCGAGCAUUCUACCACUGAACCAAAAGC
This 69-nucleotide transfer RNA is filed under the name Cordylochernes scorpioides. RNAcentral's name for it is "tRNA-Gly". Lineage: Eukaryota; Metazoa; Arthropoda; Arachnida; Pseudoscorpiones; Chernetidae. The record is from RNAcentral.